Molecule: ribosomal RNA, 381 nt
Filed under: Triticum aestivum (bread wheat)
Lineage: Eukaryota; Viridiplantae; Streptophyta; Magnoliopsida; Poales; Poaceae
Description: partial small subunit ribosomal RNA
Source: RNAcentral
AUGUUGUCUGGCGUCAAGUUCGAUCCCACGGAUCAGGAGCUGAUCGAGCACCUUGAGGCCAAAGUGAGUGCUGAUAGUACGAGAUCUCAAACUCUCAUCGAUUUGUUCAUACCAACCAUCGAUAGCGAGCACGACAUAUGCUACACCCAUCCUGAGAAACUUCCAGGUAUCACACUAAGUGGCCUAAGCAAGCAUUUCUUCCAGCGCAAUUCCAGGGCGUUCAAAAGGGGCACGUGGAUGUGUCGCAAGAUACAGUCGGUGUGCGGCAUGCACGCGAUGUGGCACAAGAGCGGCAAUACCUUGCCGGUGAUGGUCAACGACCGACAGAUGGACAUCAAAAAGGUUCGGGUGCUGCACACCAACAAGAACUUCGACCAGUAG